RNAcentral lists this ribosomal RNA (645 nucleotides) under Limosilactobacillus fermentum. RNAcentral's name for it is "bacterial SSU rRNA". It matches the Rfam family "Bacterial small subunit ribosomal RNA", at positions 56 to 657 of the family's 1533-position model. Lineage: Bacteria; Bacillati; Bacillota; Bacilli; Lactobacillales; Lactobacillaceae. The record is from RNAcentral.
UGCAAGUCGAACGCGUUGGCCCAAUUGAUUGAUGGUGCUUGCACCUGAUUGAUUUUGGUCGCCAACGAGUGGCGGACGGGUGAGUAACACGUAGGUAACCUGCCCAGAAGCGGGGGACAACAUUUGGAAACAGAUGCUAAUACCGCAUAACAGCGUUGUUCGCAUGAACAACGCUUAAAAGAUGGCUUCUCGCUAUCACUUCUGGAUGGACCUGCGGUGCAUUAGCUUGUUGGUGGGGUAACGGCCUACCAAGGCGAUGAUGCAUAGCCGAGUUGAGAGACUGAUCGGCCACAAUGGGACUGAGACACGGCCCAUACUCCUACGGGAGGCAGCAGUAGGGAAUCUUCCACAAUGGGCGCAAGCCUGAUGGAGCAACACCGCGUGAGUGAAGAAGGGUUUCGGCUCGUAAAGCUCUGUUGUUAAAGAAGAACACGUAUGAGAGUAACUGUUCAUACGUUGACGGUAUUUAACCAGAAAGUCACGGCUAACUACGUGCCAGCAGCCGCGGUAAUACGUAGGUGGCAAGCGUUAUCCGGAUUUAUUGGGCGUAAAGAGAGUGCAGGCGGUUUUCUAAGUCUGAUGUGAAAGCCUUCGGCUUAACCGGAGAAGUGCAUCGGAAACUGGAUAACUUGAGUGCAGAAGAGG